GACGAAGGAUGCAAGCGUUAUCCGGAUUCAUUGGGUUUAAAGGGAGCGUAGGUGGCCUUAUAAGUCAGUGGUGAAAUCUCUGGGCUUAACCCAGAAAUUGCCAUUGAUACUGUAGGGCUUGAGUAUAGUUGCCGUUGGCGGAAUAUGACAUGUAGUGGUGAAAUACAUAGAGAUGUCAUAGAACACCGAUUGCGAAGGCAGCUGACGAAACUAUAACUGACACUGAGGCUCGAAAGCGUGGGGAUCAAACAGG
Molecule: ribosomal RNA, 253 nt
Filed under: uncultured bacterium
Lineage: Bacteria
Description: partial 16S ribosomal RNA
Rfam family: Bacterial small subunit ribosomal RNA
Source: RNAcentral